This 74-nucleotide transfer RNA is filed under the name Agropyron cristatum. RNAcentral describes it as "partial tRNA-Ser". It matches the Rfam family "tRNA", at positions 15 to 71 of the family's 71-position model. Rfam says of the family: Transfer RNA (tRNA) molecules are approximately 80 nucleotides in length. Their secondary structure includes four short double-helical elements and three loops (D, anti-codon, and T loops). Lineage: Eukaryota; Viridiplantae; Streptophyta; Magnoliopsida; Poales; Poaceae. The record is from RNAcentral.
GUGGUUGAUAGCUCCGGUCUUGAAAACCGGUAUAGUUCUAGGAACUAUCGAGGGUUCGAAUCCCUCUCUCUCCU